RNAcentral lists this long non-coding RNA (206 nucleotides) under Capra hircus (goat). RNAcentral describes it as "lncRNA (ENSCHIG00000005469.1)". The record is from RNAcentral. Lineage: Eukaryota; Metazoa; Chordata; Mammalia; Artiodactyla; Bovidae.
CUCAACCUGACCCAGCUGGUCUGCAUUGCACAGGAGCUGACUACAGGUUCCUGUAAACCAAGUGGACUGUAUGAAGCUGGGGAGGCCAGAGGGACUAUGGUAGAAAACAUUCUGUUUCAGUAUAACUGGAUAUGACUCAAGGUAUAUAAAAGUAUAUGACUCAAUGGAUAUGAUCUCAAGGGAGUUGUUACAGAGGCAGUGCACAC